UACAGAGGGUGCGAGCGUUAAUCGGAAUUACUGGGCGUAAAGGGUGCGUAGGUGGUUGCAUAAGUUAGGUGUGAAAGUCCUGGGCUUAACCUGGGGACUGCGCCUAAGACUGUGUAGCUAGAGUACUGUAGAGGGAGGUGGAAUUUCCAGUGUAGCGGUGAAAUGCGUAGAUAUUGGAAGGAACAUCGGUGGCGAAGGCGACCUCCUGGACAGAUACUGACACUGAGGCACGAGAGCAUGGGGAGCAAACAGG
RNAcentral lists this ribosomal RNA (253 nucleotides) under uncultured bacterium. RNAcentral describes it as "partial 16S ribosomal RNA". It matches the Rfam family "Bacterial small subunit ribosomal RNA", at positions 524 to 776 of the family's 1533-position model. The record is from RNAcentral.